ACCGUAAGUGGCUUUGCAAGCACUCAGGAAACGUACACUCAUAUGCUUAACUCUGGGACUUAUUUUGAACAUAUUUUCAAAAUCAAAAUGACAAGUUAACAUUUAGCCAUGGAAGUGAUCGAAUACAGCUAUCCUCUCAGGUGCAUGUUCGCAAUCACAGUUUUCUUUUUGCAGUGUGAAAUGUGAGUUGGUGAGGAAGAUCAACCUACCGGCCUAGACCAAGACUCAAUGUAGAACCUCCUGAGGUUAUUGGGCCUAUGUUGGUGAGUGCUUUAACAUUCGAUGUUUUCUAUUAGCAGAAAUUAAUCUUUUUGAUAGUGUUGUUGCAUUACUAUACAUACACUGAUAAAAGUCUUUCAUGCUGAUAAAAAAUGAAUAUGGUGUCUCACGAAGGAAACAUUGAUUCAGAAUAAUUUUUUUUUCUCUUGUGUUCUCCAGCUUUUGCCCAUGACUCCCUUUUCAUGCUUGUUAAUGGCAAAUUGUACACAUCUAUUCCAACACAGAGUAUAAUCACUUGUGGAUAACUUUUCUCAGAGUAACCUUUCUAUGGGUAGGGUAACCUUAUUGAGCAUAGAGAAUAGAAUUGGAGAAAUGUCUUUAGGCUUAGUUAUUGUCAGAAACAUCUAUGUAUUCUGUGUACAUAUAAUUGACAUUUAUGAACAAAACUUUUUUUUUUAAAUUUGUACAUACAUACAUAUUCCCUAGUCCGAGCAGUUCAGUGAUGAAGAAGGGGAACCACCAAAACCUGAAGAAGGAGAACCAGCAAAUCAAAGUCGGGAUCCUGCACCUGCUCAGGAGGGAGAGGACAAGGGAGCAUCUGCAGCUCAAGGUGAAAAGCAAUCACAGAGUUAAAAGAAGACACGCUGAAAUGAUGCAGGCUGCUCCUGUGUUGGAAAUUUGUUCAUUAAAGUUCUCCCAAU
RNAcentral lists this long non-coding RNA (920 nucleotides) under Macaca mulatta (Rhesus monkey). RNAcentral describes it as "lncRNA (ENSMMUG00000002333.4)". The record is from RNAcentral. Lineage: Eukaryota; Metazoa; Chordata; Mammalia; Primates; Cercopithecidae.